CUAAACACAGUUUUUUUUAGAUAAAAGAGUUGAAGAAAAACUAAUGAGAAAAUAUCUGUCCAUUCUUAGAGAUUAUAAUUUUAUCGAUUCAAUAUUAAAUAUAAAAUUGAUGUCAAGUAGAGUCAUUAAGGAUAGCAUAAUUAAUAUAUCAGGGGGACUGGAAAGUAAUGUCGUUUCUGCAGGUGUCACUAUUUGUUUAUCAUUUAUCAGCUCAUUGUGUACUUCAAAGUCAUGCCAAAGACAUUUUAAAGUUAAAGUGACUUGUUUAUUUGUAAAUAAUUAAAUCUUAAAUUUUUUUUGCAAU
Molecule: long non-coding RNA, 304 nt
Filed under: Androctonus crassicauda
Lineage: Eukaryota; Metazoa; Arthropoda; Arachnida; Scorpiones; Buthidae
Source: RNAcentral